CAGUAGCCACGGGAAUACGGAGGGUGCAAGCGUUAAUCGGAAUUACUGGGCGUAAAGCGCACGUAGGCUGCUUUGUAAGUUAGAGGUGAAAGCCUGGUGCUCAACACCAGAACUGCCUUUAAGACUGCCGAGCUAGUAGGUGAGAGAGGUAAGUGGAAUUCCGAGCGUAGAGGCGAAAUUCGUAGAUAUUCGGAAGAACACCAGUGGCGAAGGCGGCUUACUGGCUCAUUCUAGACGCUGAGGUGCGAAAGCGUGGGGAGCAAACAGGAUUAGAUACCCCUGUAGUCCCUGUCUCUUAUAC
Molecule: ribosomal RNA, 301 nt
Filed under: uncultured bacterium
Lineage: Bacteria
Description: partial 16S ribosomal RNA
Rfam family: Bacterial small subunit ribosomal RNA
Source: RNAcentral